AGUCUGGACCUUGACCAUCUCUCCCCCUUCUGACCCAUGUUCUAACCAUCCCUCACCUGCAGAAUCACAGCCACCUCCUGACUGGGCUCCCAUCUCUUCCUUGCUUCUCUUUCAGCGUCCUCUCAUCUCAGCCAUCAGAGGGAACCUGUGAACAGAAUCAAAUCGUGACUGGCUCUUGGACCCUCAGUGUACUCAGAGUAAAGCCCUUCCAGUGGUCUACGAAGCCCUAGCCGGCCUCCCCUCCACCACCACCUCUCUGCAUUUCCUCUCUGAUGUGAUCUGUUUUUUACUCUAUCCCCCCCUCAGCUCUAGUCACCCCGGCUUCCUUGCCAUUCCUCUGUGGACCAAGCACAGUCCACCUCAGGACCUUUGCACCCCCUGUUCCCACUGCCUGCAAUGCUCUUGCCCCAGAUAACAGCCCACUGCCCCCUCUUGUCUGCCAGGUCUUUAACCAAAUAUCCCUUUCCAAUAACACCUUCCCUUGCCACCCCAUCUGAAACUGCAAACGCACCCCUGACGCUGGCCCUUCGUGUCUUCCUCCCAUUUUCGUCAUCUCCAAGGCAUUAUCUACGCCUAACACACGUCUUCAUUGUAUUUGAAAUUUUUUUAAAAACUUAUUUAUUUAAUUUACUUCUGACUUAUUUAUGCUAGUCCUCUUCUGUUUCCCCCACGGCAGCAUCCACAAGGUGAAGUGGUUUUCGUCGGCGUGUGCGGUGCUAUCAUCCCAGCACCUUGUGCUGGUUCUCGAUAACGAUUUGAUGAGUUGAGUGAAAUAGAGUGACUUUCCUACUGCCCCGUUAGGGAUGUGGUGGCCUUCAGUCCCCACCCCAUCUGUCUCACCCUGAUGGACAGUGGCCAAGGCGAGGGCAGGGGACCGGCAGUGGUGCAAAGGCCACAAGGGCCAGAGGAGCCUGCCCUGGGAGAAAAUCCUUCAAGUGGGUCAGCGGCCAGCCGAGCGGGAGGAGCGUGCAAUCGCUCUAAGGAUCGGGGGUGCGCACAGCCCGCCUCCUCACCUCUGUGCGUGGAGCUGCCUCAUUUCUGGGGGUCAGUGCCCUGGGGGUAUCCUUGGGGGACCCUUGUCAGGAGUAACAAGGACGUGGAGGGGCGUUCUCCUGUCUCACCCGACCCAUUGUUGGAUCAAUGCCCUGUGUUCACAUCUGAUCACUGGUGAGGUUGAA
This 1178-nucleotide long non-coding RNA is filed under the name Dasypus novemcinctus (nine-banded armadillo). RNAcentral describes it as "lncRNA (ENSDNOG00000050484.1)". Lineage: Eukaryota; Metazoa; Chordata; Mammalia; Cingulata; Dasypodidae. The record is from RNAcentral.